Molecule: ribosomal RNA, 1974 nt
Filed under: Triticum aestivum (bread wheat)
Lineage: Eukaryota; Viridiplantae; Streptophyta; Magnoliopsida; Poales; Poaceae
Description: partial small subunit ribosomal RNA
Source: RNAcentral
CUAACAACCACAUCUUUCUUCACUGCGUGAUUACGCGGGGACGCUCUAGAAUAGUCUCGCACGCUGUAGGUCACUCCGGUCGCGUUGGACGUUUGCUCCAUGGCCGUCUGUGCGUGCACCUAUAUAAGCCGCCAUAGCCAAGCUGCACCGAUCGGCAUCGCAUCUGUACUUGCUAGCCGGCGCACCCUCUCUUUUAUCCACAUCAGCUCGGUCGAUCUGUGACCAUCUCAGUCGAGCUGCAUCUGCAGGUGUACUAGUAGUACACCUAAGCUGAGCUUGCGUAUACCACUGCACGUAUACGCACAUCAAAUUAAUCUGAAACUAAUUAAGUUAUCAGGUGCGGGGAGAGAACAAUCGACACGAUGGCUUCUGCUUUCUCAUCCACCGUUGGAGCUCCGGCGUCGACCCCGACCACCUUCCUCGGGAAGAAGGUGAAGAAGCAGGCCGGUACGUUGAACUACUACCAUGGUGGCAACAAGAUCAACAGUAGGGUGGUCAGGGCCAUGGCGGCCAAAAAGGAACUUGACGAGGGCAAGCAGACCGAUGCCGAUCGGUGGAAGGGUCUCGCUUACGACAUCUCCGACGACCAGCAGGACAUCACCAGGGGGAAAGGUAUCGUGGACUCCCUGUUCCAGGCCCCCAUGGGCGACGGCACCCACGAGGCCAUCCUGAGCUCCUACGAGUACAUCAGCCAGGGCCUGCGGAAGUACGACUUCGACAACACCAUGGACGGGCUCUACAUCGCCCCGGCAUUCAUGGACAAGCUCAUCGUCCACCUCGCCAAGAACUUCAUGACGCUCCCCAACAUCAAGGUCCCUCUCAUCCUGGGCAUCUGGGGAGGCAAGGGACAGGGCAAGUCGUUCCAGUGCGAGCUGGUGUUCGCCAAGAUGGGCAUCAACCCCAUCAUGAUGAGCGCCGGAGAGCUGGAGAGCGGCAACGCCGGCGAGCCGGCCAAGCUGAUCCGGCAGAGGUACCGCGAGGCGGCGGACAUUAUCAAGAAGGGCAAGAUGUGCUGCCUCUUCAUCAACGACCUGGACGCCGGCGCGGGGCGGAUGGGCGGGACGACGCAGUACACGGUGAACAACCAGAUGGUGAACGCCACCUUGAUGAACAUCGCGGACGCGCCCACCAACGUGCAGCUCCCGGGGAUGUACAACAAGGAGGAGAACCCACGCGUGCCCAUCAUCGUCACCGGCAACGACUUCUCGACGCUGUACGCGCCCCUCAUCCGCGACGGCCGCAUGGAGAAGUUCUACUGGGCGCCCACCCGCGAGGACCGCAUCGGGGUGUGCAAGGGCAUCUUCCGCACCGACAACGUCCCGGACGAGGCUGUGGUGAGGCUGGUGGACACCUUCCCGGGGCAAUCCAUCGACUUCUUCGGCGCGCUGCGGGCGCGGGUGUACGACGACGAGGUGCGCAAGUGGGUCGGCGAGAUCGGCGUCGAGAACAUCUCCAAGCGCCUCGUCAACUCCAGGGAGGGGCCGCCGACGUUCGACCAGCCCAAGAUGACCAUCGAGAAGCUCAUGGAGUACGGCCACAUGCUGGUCCAGGAGCAGGAGAACGUGAAGCGUGUGCAGCUCGCCGACAAGUACCUCAGCGAGGCGGCGCUCGGCCAAGCCAACGACGACGCCAUGGCGACCGGCGCCUUCUACGGCAAGUAGAAUGAAGGCCAGCCCGUCCUAGUUAAGAUGCAUGCAUGCACUAUAUAUAUUUUGGAAUAUUUUGGACUCAAACUUUUUGAUUCAUCGCCGCACAGGUAACCCAAUUGUAACUUGUACGUCUCUUGUUGAAAGAAAAUCGAAUUAUACUCCCUAUGUUUCUAAAUAUAACUCUUUUUAGAGAAUCCAAUAUGGACUACGUACAGAGUAAAAUGGGUGAAUCUACACAUUAAACUACGUCUAUAUACAUCCGUAUAUAGUCCAUAUUACAAUCUCUAAAAAACUUAUAUUUAUGAGCGGAUGAAGUAUAUGUUAU